Non-coding RNA from Alteromonas confluentis, 183 nucleotides. It matches the Rfam family "6S / SsrS RNA". From Rfam's summary of the family: E. coli 6S RNA was the first non coding RNA to be sequenced, but its function was unknown until recently. It consists of 184 nucleotides that fold into an extended hairpin structure with a large single-stranded internal bulge. The 6S RNA specifically associates with RNA polymerase holoenzyme containing the sigma70 specificity factor. Lineage: Bacteria; Pseudomonadati; Pseudomonadota; Gammaproteobacteria; Alteromonadales; Alteromonadaceae. The record is from Rfam.
UGUCUUCUGGAAUGUUCGCCAGUUCAUUCAUGUCCCUGGCCGAUGCUUUAAACCUAGGAAGAUGACAUUGUUGCUAUUGUGCAAGCUCGGCGCGUACCGAGAAGCCUACGGCAAUGACGAGUCUUCCGCCCUGAAUCUUUCGGUUCACGGGCGAACGAUGAACAGCGGCAUUCUGGAAGGCGC